AUUGAACGCUGGCGGCAUGGCUAAAACAUGCAAGUCGAACGCGAAAGGGAGCAAUCCCAAGUAGAGUGGCGAAAGGGCGAGGAAUAAAUUCCUACGUACCCCAAGGUCGGGGAUACCUCGGAGAAAUCCGAAUCAAUACCCGAUGUGGUCCGAAAGGAUCAAAGGCUUGCUGCCUUGGGAGCGGGGAAUUUCCUAUCAGGUAGUUGGUAGGGUAACGGCCUACCAAGCCUAAGACGGGUAGCGGGUGUGAGAGCACGGCCCGCCGCAUCGAGACUGAGACGCUGCUCGGACUCCUACGGGAGGCUGCAGUAACGAAUCUUCCGCAAUGCGCGAAAGCGUGACGGGGCAAUGCCGCGUGUGGGAUGAAGCCCUUCGGGUGUAACCACUGUCAGGUGCAGAACACAAUGACAUACCCAAAGAAGCACCGGCUAACUCUGUGCCAGCAG
RNAcentral lists this ribosomal RNA (446 nucleotides) under uncultured bacterium. RNAcentral describes it as "bacterial SSU rRNA". It matches the Rfam family "Bacterial small subunit ribosomal RNA", at positions 30 to 514 of the family's 1533-position model. The record is from RNAcentral.